This 201-nucleotide ribosomal RNA is filed under the name uncultured bacterium. RNAcentral describes it as "partial 16S ribosomal RNA". It matches the Rfam family "Bacterial small subunit ribosomal RNA", at positions 1300 to 1500 of the family's 1533-position model. The record is from RNAcentral.
GUAGUCUGCAACCCGACUACAUGAAGCUGGAAUCGCUAGUAAUCGCGAAUCAGAAUGUCGCGGUGAAUACGUUCCCGGGUCUUGUACACACCGCCCGUCACACCAUGGGAGUCGGAAAUGCCCGAAGUCUGUGACCCAACCUACGGGAGGGAGCAGCCGAAGGCAGGUCGGAUGACUGGGGUGAAGUCGUAACAAGGUAUC